GUGCACAGACUGCGGCCAUGGUUUUACAAUUGUCCCAAGCAUACAAAUGAAAUGGUUUACAAUACACAGGUAGUCCUAAAGCCUGGGCUUGCACAAUAACAACUGUAAGGGCAAUAUAUGCAGCUAGCAUGUCUGGUGACCAGCAGACAUUUUCAGGGCUGUCAGAACGUACAGCCUCCCUUAGGAUUGAGUUAUAAUGGGAGCAUUCAGGGAUCCAUUGGCGGCAGUAAUUAAUCAUGCCGAGGAAGGUGAGCAACUCCUUCCGAGUAGUGGGUGUAGGAAUCCUCUGAAUGACCUCAAUACAUUUUGGACUCAAUUGUCUGGUGCCUAAAGCCAGAACAAAACCUAAGUAUUCAACCUUUGAUUUACACAAUUGCAUUUUGUGUUUAACAACCUUGUGACCUAUAGUUGCUGACAGUAUCCACAGUGCUUGCCUCAUAGCUAGGGCUACAUAACAACAAAUCAUCAACAUUUUGCAAAAAGGACGGAACCAUGACCGGUGGUCCAUGUUUUUUUAGAGUAUGUUGGAGUACCAACGAAUAAACAGCUGGGGAAUCCACAUAGCCUUGGGUAAGCGUGUCCAGGUAAACUGACAGCCUUCAAAAAGUAAAAACCAUAAGUAGCUGUGUCUCUUGAUCAAUAGGUAUAGAAAAAAUGCAUUACUUAAAUCAAUGACAGUGAAGCAAGUGGCAUCAUGUGGAAUGGCUGUAAUGAGGGAUGUCACAUCAGGGACAAUGGGUGAAAUGGGCACAAUUAAACUAUUCAGGGCUCUAAAGUCCUGAACUAAGCGAUAUGCUGGCCAGUGGUGUUGGGAGUGGGUCUGGUGUUGUUCUUGCCUACAGGGCAUAUUUUGAGAAAGGUGGGGUUGUUGGGGUGUGUGGGGUUUCCUGGGGUGUGGACACUCAUUCCUCCAGUGGCCACAUUGAAACAAGUGUUCCUGUCUAUUCCUCCUUGGUUACCCCUGCCCCUAUAACCCUGAUUUCCUUGUCUCCAUCCCCUUGCCCCUCUUUGACCACCCCUUCCACGGGCUUUAUGUGCUCCAUCCCAUCCUCGCUCUCAGCCU
Molecule: non-coding RNA, 1063 nt
Organism: Pelobates cultripes (western spadefoot toad)
Lineage: Eukaryota; Metazoa; Chordata; Amphibia; Anura; Pelobatidae
Source: the annotation of a GenBank genome assembly